CAAUAGCGUAUAUUAAAGUUGUUGCAGUUAAAAAGCUCGUAGUUGGAUUUCUGGGAGGGUGCCGCCGUCCGGCGUGUCCGUGUGCAGUGGCGCCCUUCCAUCCUUCUGUUAGCGUCUCUUGGCAUUCAUUUGCUGGUGGCGGGCUCAGAUAUUUUACCUUGAGAAAAUUAGAGUGUUUCAGGCAGGCUAGGCCGGAAUACAUUAGCAUGGAAUAAUGGAAUAGGACUACGGUCUCUUUGUUGGUUUGAGGGACUGCAGUAAUGAUUAAUAGGGACAGUUGGGGGCAUUAGUAUUUAAUUGUCAGAGGUGGAAUUCUCAGAUUUGUUAAAGACUAACUUAUGCGAAAGCAUUUGCCAAGGAUGUUUUCAUUAA
Molecule: ribosomal RNA, 372 nt
Filed under: uncultured eukaryote
Lineage: Eukaryota
Description: partial 18S ribosomal RNA
Rfam family: Eukaryotic small subunit ribosomal RNA
Source: RNAcentral